AUUGGCCGGCCUCUUUUAGAGAAAAAAAGAGAAAGUGUUUCUCAUCUUUGUCUCAAGAAAACCCUAAUGAGGUAAACGCUAUAAAGAUGCUUUUAAAUCUCUUUUCUUAGGUGAGUGGCAAACUUGCAAUUAAGCAAAACUUCCCACUACCCUUGCUAUGGCUGGCCAUCUUGUGUGAUUGGGCUAUUUGCCCAUAUUUGUUUUAGUUCUCAUACAACUUAAACAUAAUGGACCUAGUGGACCCCAAAGCCCAAAACUAACUUAAAAGCCCAAUACGAACCUUUCGUAUAAUUAAUCAACUAAUUAAUUAACCUUGACCAUUUUCAAUUAAACAAUUUAAUUGCUUAUCCAUUUCAUUUAUAUUUCUUCACUUUCAUCCUUACUCGGUGUACGAUCCAUUAGGUUCCAAUUAGCAAGGCAGUGGGCGAUUGUUACUCUUAACAAUCGAUUGUGAAUUGAAACUUCAUUUCAAUUCUCCUUUUGAUUAAGAUUAGUGUUUGCUAAUCUUCAGGGCUUCCACAAAUCAUGAGUGACACCUAGCAGCAUGUCAUGGCU
RNAcentral lists this long non-coding RNA (555 nucleotides) under Malus domestica (apple). RNAcentral describes it as "long non-coding RNA (MDOM_LNC014024)". Lineage: Eukaryota; Viridiplantae; Streptophyta; Magnoliopsida; Rosales; Rosaceae. The record is from RNAcentral.